RNAcentral lists this ribosomal RNA (388 nucleotides) under Aquarius cinereus. Its description in RNAcentral is "partial 16S ribosomal RNA". Lineage: Eukaryota; Metazoa; Arthropoda; Insecta; Hemiptera; Gerridae. The record is from RNAcentral.
UAAGGUAAGUUAAUCUUAUAAUCAAAAAUUCUGGAUCAAAAAAACAUAAAUUAAUGAAAAAAAUAUUAAAAGUUAAAUAAAUUUUAAUGUCACCCCAACAAAACUUUAUAUUCUAAAAAAUAGUUGGAUAAACAAAAAACAAAAAUUAAUAAAUAAAGUAAACUUCUAUAGGGUCUUCUCGUCCUAUAAAAAAAUUUUAGCUUUUUAACUAAAAAAUUAAAUUCAAAAUAAUUAAAAAAAGAAAGCUUAUUUUUCAUCAAACCAUUCAUACUAGCCUUCAAUUAAAAGACAAAUGAUUAUGCUACCUUCGUACAGUUAAAAUACCGCAGCCUUUUAAUUAAAAAAUAAUCAAUGGGCAGGCCUGAUCUUAAAUAAAAAUCAAAAGACC